This is a non-coding RNA of Oryzias latipes (Japanese medaka), 3060 nucleotides long. The record is from RefSeq and is a predicted model, not a curated record. Lineage: Eukaryota; Metazoa; Chordata; Actinopteri; Beloniformes; Adrianichthyidae.
UGAUUGAUUGAUUGAUUGAUUGAUUGAUUGAUUGAUAUACAAGGAAUUUGGCUUUGGUGUACUCUCGUGCAAACCAAACAAGGUUUUAGAAGUUGUAAAGGAGUAAAGACAACAAAGGAUAAAUAUUUUUUGAUAGAUGUGAUUUUAACAUCUUAAAAAUCUGUUCAUUAAAUGCCAAAUAAAAGUAAAAAUAUGACUGAUUUGAAUUGUAUUAGAGCUCCUGUGCUAAACCUGCAGUUUAUAACCUAUUUCUACACUUUGAUGUCAGCAUUUUCCCUCUGUCAGUGUAAGCUUUCCUCACUUUCUUCCUUCAGUGGAGAAGAUUACCUUCCAUAUCUGCUCCCCACAGAGUUACAUUAGCAGCCGUUGGCUGUCAUUCCGGCUGUGGAUGAGUGGGACUGUAGCAUCAGACGGGGUCCCGCUGGAUGUUGGAUCGAAAUCCCUCCUGUCAGUUUUUAUAUUCAGAUUAAAAGCAAAGAUGGAGAUCAUGCGAUUGGAAUACUAGUUCCACUCCAGUUUUCUCUGUUCACACUGACUAAAUUCAUCCAUCCAUCCUUCUCUACCUCUCUGUAGUGCCCCUGUCCUGCUCUGAGGGCUUCACAGAGUUGGGGUACUAACGGCACACUGUCUCAGACGGACUCAGGCACCCCCUUGUCUGAAGUGGACCGAGUUUCCACAUUACGUCAUGCAGUACCUGGGUCAGAGUCUGGGGACCACAGCUACUGCAGAAAACCGGACCGGGAGUCCAACCCAUGGUGGUUCUUCCAACAGAGCUCAGGUGCCAUCGGCUGGACGUACUGCGACUGCCCUAAAAACAAUGGGAAAAGUGGGCUUGUUCAUUUACAAAUAGUAAGCACGUUUGUUUAAUAUGAACAAAUUAUGUUUACCUUCAAAACAUAUUACAAUCUUGAAAAUAACACUUAAUUUCUAGCAGUGUUAGAUUUAUAAAUUGAAAUCAUGUUGACUAAACAUGAAACAAUUCUGGUUUGGCCUUUGCCCCUUAAUUUUGGACUGGUAAACCCCGUUAGAAGCAUUCCAGGAGGAGAAACGUUGCAGUCAGCCAUUUUGGAGAAGCUGCAAGCACCUGCUGGCUGGAGGAUCUUUUAAAAGAUCUGCAUCGUCUUCAUCGUCCUCCCACAGAUGAAGCUGCCCAUCCUGCACUUUGGCAGCUCUGCAGCUGUUGGGCCAGAUUGCCCAACACCCCAACCCACCAGUCAGCAGAGCUGCAUGCAUGCAUAGAUGUAAUCCCAGAUAUCGUGGAUGCCACAACACCAGCAGUGGUGUCCAUAUUAUGUUUCUGGAGGUAAGUGCCUGAACCUCUGUUCACUGAGCUGAAGGCUGGCUGUAGUGAUGGGAUGUUGAAGCCUCAGCUGCGUUUACCUGGACAAAAGUAAUCGCAAUGAAGAUCAGAAUAAAAAUGCGUCAUGUAAACAUUGAUUUUAAAUGAUUGAUCUCUAUGCUAAGUCUCUGAUGAUGUGUUAACAGAAGUAUACUAGUACUUUCAGAGACACAGAUGAGCUCCUUAUGGAGCCUUUAUAAUUUGAAAUCAACUUUGAGUGUAACAUCAUGUUAAUUCCUCUUCAAAAACAGCCCCAAGUCGGUAUUUUGAUCCAUUCAAGCAUUUCUGAGUAUUCCUCUAAAACCUGUUCUCUGAGCGGAUUGACACACAUAUGCAAAAAUGGAGCUGCGGAAAUAACUAACUUUUUAUUUUCAAAAUCGUUCUUUAGUGUAACAAAGGAAAUAUAUUCUCAUAUAUAUGCAUGUAGGCUUAAGAAUUGCAUGCUAUAUGCCCCUUAAAUAUGUUGUCACCUCUGUCUCUCUUUAGAUCUCUAUUCUUCAGGAGGGAGGCUUGGCUGACACGGACUGGGUUCAUAGUCACGGAUGAUGGUGAUAUAAUCACCAAUGCCCACAUUGUCUGGGAGAGCUGCAGAGUGCAGGUGGAGCUGAGAAGUGGAGAUAGAUUUGAUGCCACCAUCAAACCUAUGGAUGAGGCCGAUAUCGCCCUAAUCCACAUUAAUUCAUCGGGAGGAUUCUCGGGGGAGCCGCUGAUAAAUCUGGGAAAUGGAUUUGUUUCCACUGCUCUCAUAGAUUGUCAACCCCCACCCCAGUCAGCCCUUGAUCUGCUGGAACAGGGAUGUUACAGACAUUGUGGAUGUCAUAAUGCCAGCAGUGGUGUUUAUUCCCCUGCCCAUCCUGCAACUCUGCAGCUCCACAGCUGUGCGGCCAGACCAUCAUCGCUGUUUGCAAUCCUCCAGCAUUCAAAUACAGUGUUACACUGGGCAUUGUAAGCCACAGAAGGCCGCAUGGGGACUACAAUGCCAUCGUCCACAGCGCCUUCACUACUGAAGAAUUCUCGGGGGGGCCGCUGAUAAAUCUGGUGAGUGAUGUUCAUCUGAGCAGAAGCUGGAUUCUGACAUUCAGAGUAUGACACUGAUUGGUCAUUAAGAAUCGUAAAGGAAACAGGAAACCCUGUCGGUGCAGACGUGUCACUUCCUGUAUGUAUGUGCAGUGAAGGUCAAUCCAAACUGUCACAGAUGAGCUCUUUAUGGAGCCUUUAUCAUUUGAAAUCAACUUUUUGAGUGUAACAUCCUCCUGAGAACCGAGGAAAAAAAGGGUCUUACAAUUUCUGUUUUUGUGGAUUUAUCUCAAUGAGUUCUAUCAACAGAGGAGACACGCCGCUUGGGAAGCCUGGCCGAGCGCAAAGACAUCUUGGUGAGGCCGUCGGCGUCCACAUGACAAUGAUUUCUAUAGCCUUUGGUGGCAUCUAGGUUUCCAAUGGACUCAGACUUUAGGACAAAGUGGAUCUUAGCUAUCAACAGAGCUAACUCAGAUGGAUCACUGUGGUACCAACUAGCAACACAGUCUGACUAUGUUCAAAACAUUUUAUGGAAACAGAUUUUGAUAAGAGGCCAGACUGCUUGAAACCCGACACCAUCCCAUCUGUGUUACACAAAUUAAUCACUCACAUGAACCAGUAAAUCUAUUGUUUUUCUUAAUUUUAUUUUUUUUAAGGGUAAAUUUGUUAUUGACUUUUAGACUUGUUGACUUUAUUUUUAAUUA